UUAUAUAUAUAUGUAUAGGGAGAGAUCAAAUGGAGUUGAAGGCCAAGGGGGAAGGCUUUGUAUACAAUAUUCAGAGGGCAUCCAGGGAAAACUCCCACAAUCUUAACCCUACCCCCCUAGGUCAGAAAAGGUUGGGUGAGGUUAGAAAAGGAAUAUAAAUAUGAGUUUUGUAAUUAAGAGGCAGAUCUGUCCUUUUGACAGAAUGGGAAUUAAUGAAGGUAUGAUCGGUUAAGAGACCAUCGGCGUCGGCGCCGGUGGAGGAGGAGAAAGGUGGGUUGGCAUGCAUGGGAUCUGUCAUUUUCUUUUCUUUAAUACUUAAAAAUUGACUUUUGAAAAAGAAAAAUCAGAUUAGAUAGAAAUGAUUGGUGAGAUAAUCUGUGGGAAUUGACAAACCCUAAACCAAAAUACACUGAAUAAUUAAUGCCAACUAUAAUCAUUGUGUUCUAUUUAA
Molecule: long non-coding RNA, 451 nt
Organism: Cucumis sativus (cucumber)
Lineage: Eukaryota; Viridiplantae; Streptophyta; Magnoliopsida; Cucurbitales; Cucurbitaceae
Exons: 2
Source: RefSeq, a predicted model, not a curated record